This 69-nucleotide transfer RNA is filed under the name Heterocephalus glaber (naked mole-rat). It matches the Rfam family "tRNA". From Rfam's summary of the family: Transfer RNA (tRNA) molecules are approximately 80 nucleotides in length. Their secondary structure includes four short double-helical elements and three loops (D, anti-codon, and T loops). The record is from Rfam by way of RNAcentral. Lineage: Eukaryota; Metazoa; Chordata; Mammalia; Rodentia; Bathyergidae.
GGGUGUGUAGCUCAGUGUUAGAGUGAGUACUUAGCAUGUAUGAGGCCCUGGGUUCAAUCCCCAGCACCA